Molecule: ribosomal RNA, 274 nt
Filed under: uncultured bacterium
Lineage: Bacteria
Description: partial 16S ribosomal RNA
Rfam family: Archaeal small subunit ribosomal RNA
Source: RNAcentral
AAACCAGCACCUCAAGUGGUCAGGAGGUUUAUUGGGCCUAAAGCAUCCGUAGCCUGAUCUAUAAGUUUGCGGUUAAAUCCACAUGCUCAACAUUUGGGCUGCCGGAAAAACUGUAGAUCUAGGGAGUGGGAGAGGUAGACGGUACUCGGUAGGAAGGGGUAAAAUCCUUUGAUCUAGUGAUGACCACCAGUGGCGAAGGCGGUCUACCAGAACACGUUCGACGGUGAGGGAUGAAAGCUGGGGGAGCAAACCGGAUUAGAUACCCGAGUAGUCC